This 77-nucleotide transfer RNA is filed under the name Fidelibacterota bacterium. Its description in RNAcentral is "tRNA-Met". It matches the Rfam family "tRNA". From Rfam's summary of the family: Transfer RNA (tRNA) molecules are approximately 80 nucleotides in length. Lineage: Bacteria; Pseudomonadati; Fidelibacterota. The record is from RNAcentral.
GGCGGCGUAGCUCAGCUGGUUAGAGCACCGGAAUCAUAAUCCGGGUGUCCGGGGUUCGAGUCCCUGCGCCGCUACUA